AGAGUUUGAUCCUGGCUCAGGACGAACGCUGGCGGCACGCUUAACACAUGCAAGUCGAACGAGAGAAGAGGAGCUUGCUUUUCUGAUCUAGUGGCGGACGGGUGAGUAACACGUGAGCAAUCUGCCUUUCAGAGGGGGAUACCGAUUGGAAACGAUCGUUAAUACCGCAUAACAUAAUUGAACCGCAUGAUUUGAUUAUCAAAGAUUUAUCGCUGAAAGAUGAGCUCGCGUCUGAUUAGCUAGUUGGUAAGGUAACGGCUUACCAAGGCGACGAUCAGUAGCCGGACUGAGAGGUUGAUCGGCCACAUUGGGACUGAGACACGGCCCAGACUCCUACGGGAGGCAGCAGUGGGGAAUAUUGCACAAUGGAGGAAACUCUGAUGCAGCGAUGCCGCGUGAGGGAAGAAGGUUUUAGGAUUGUAAACCUCUGUCUUCAGGGACGAAAAAAGACGGUACCUGAGGAGGAAGCUCCGGCUAACUACGUGCCAGCAGCCGCGGUAAUACGUAGGGAGCGAGCGUUGUCCGGAAUUACUGGGUGUAAAGGGAGCGUAGGCGGGAUCGCAAGUCAGAUGUGAAAACUAUGGGCUUAACCCAUAAACUGCAUUUGAAACUGUGGUUCUUGAGUGAAGUAGAGGUAAGCGGAAUUCCUAGUGUAGCGGUGAAAUGCGUAGAUAUUAGGAGGAACAUCAGUGGCGAAGGCGGCUUACUGGGCUUUAACUGACGCUGAGGCUCGAAAGCGUGGGGAGCAAACAGGAUUAGAUACCCUGGUAGUCCACGCCGUAAACGAUGAUUACUAGGUGUGGGGGGACUGACCCCUUCCGUGCCGCAGCAAACGCAAUAAGUAAUCCACCUGGGGAGUACGACCGCAAGGUUGAAACUCAAAGGAAUUGACGGGGGCCCGCACAAGCAGUGGAGUAUGUGGAUUAAUUCGAAGCAACGCGAAGAACCUUACCAGGUCUUGACAUCGUAUGCAUAGCUCAGAGAUGAGUGAAAUCUCUUCGGAGACAUAUAGACAGGUGGUGCAUGGUUGUCGUCAGCUCGUGUCGUGAGAUGUUGGGUUAAGUCCCGCAACGAGCGCAACCCUUACUGUUAGUUGCUACGCAAGAGCACUCUAGCAGGACUGCCGUUGAAAAACGGAGGAAGGUGGGGAUGACGUCAAAUCAUCAUGCCCCUUAUGACCUGGGCCUCACACGUACUACAAUGGCUGUCAACAGAGGGAAGCAAAGCCGCGAGGUGGAGCGAACCCCUAAAAGCAGUCUUAGUUCGGAUUGUAGGCUGCAACCCGCCUACAUGAAGUCGGAAUUGCUAGUAAUCGCAGAUCAGCAUGCUGCGGUGAAUACGUUCCCGGGCCUUGUACACACCGCCCGUCACGCCAUGGGAGUCGGUAACACCCGAAGCCUGUAGUCUAACCGCAAGGAGGACGCAGUCGAAGGUGGGAUUGAUGACUGGGGUGAAGUCGUAACAAGGUA
This 1469-nucleotide ribosomal RNA is filed under the name metagenome. RNAcentral describes it as "bacterial SSU rRNA". It matches the Rfam family "Bacterial small subunit ribosomal RNA". The record is from RNAcentral.